RNAcentral lists this ribosomal RNA (498 nucleotides) under uncultured bacterium. RNAcentral describes it as "partial 16S ribosomal RNA". It matches the Rfam family "Bacterial small subunit ribosomal RNA", at positions 28 to 507 of the family's 1533-position model. The record is from RNAcentral.
GACGAACGCUGGCGGCGUGCCUAAUACAUGCAAGUCGAACGAGAGCGACCGGUGCUUGCACUGGUCAAUCUAGUGGCGAACGGGUGAGUAACACGUGGGUAACCUGCCCAUCAGAGGGGGAUAACACCCGGAAACGGAUGCUAAAACCGCAUAGGUCUUCGAACCGCAUGGUUUGAAGAGGAAAAGAGGCGCAAGCUUCUGCUGAUGGAUGGACCCGCGGUGCAUUAGCUAGUUGGUGAGGUAACGGCUCACCAAGGCCGUGAUGCAUAGCCGACCUGAGAGGGUGAUCGGCCACAUUGGGACUGAGACACGGCCCAAACUCCUACGGGAGGCAGCAGUAGGGAAUCUUCCGCAAUGGACGCAAGUCUGACGGAGCAACGCCGCGUGAGUGAAGAAGGUUUUCGGAUCGUAAAACUCUGUUGUUAGAGAAGAACAAGUGCUAGAGUAACUGUUAGCGCCUUGACGGUAUCUAACCAGAAAGCCACGGCUAACUACGUG